This 458-nucleotide ribosomal RNA is filed under the name uncultured bacterium. RNAcentral describes it as "partial 16S ribosomal RNA". It matches the Rfam family "Bacterial small subunit ribosomal RNA", at positions 338 to 795 of the family's 1533-position model. The record is from RNAcentral.
CCUACGGGAGGCAGCAGUGAGGAAUAUUGGUCAAUGGGCGAGAGCCUGAACCAGCCAAGUCGCGUGAGGGAGUACUGCCCUAUGGGUUGUAAACCUCUUUUGUCGGGGAGCAAAAGCCGGACGUGUCCGGCUGUGAGAGUACCCGAAGAAAAAGCAUCGGCUAACUCCGUGCCAGCAGCCGCGGUAAUACGGAGGAUGCGAGCGUUAUCCGGAUUUAUGGGGUUAAAAGGGUGCGCAGGCGGAUUUUAAAGUCAGCGGUCAAAUCGUGGGGCUCAACCCCAUCCAGCCGUUGAAACUGGGGAUCUAGAGUGUGCGAGAGGUAUGCGGAAUGCGUGGUGUAGCGGUGAAAUGCAUAGAUAUCACGCAGAACCCCGAUUGCGAAGGCAGCAUACCGGUGCACAACUGACGCUCAGGCACGAAAGCGUGGGUAUCGAACAGGAUUAGAUACCCCUGUAGUC